This 173-nucleotide ribosomal RNA is filed under the name uncultured bacterium. RNAcentral's name for it is "partial 16S ribosomal RNA". It matches the Rfam family "Archaeal small subunit ribosomal RNA", at positions 84 to 239 of the family's 1478-position model. The record is from RNAcentral.
UACGGCUCAGUAACACGUGGCUAAUCUGCCCUUGGGACGAGAACAACCCCGGGAAACUGGGGCUAACUCUCGAUAGGUGAAGAACUCUGGAAUGAGUCUUCACUUAAAUAGAUUCACGUUAUGCUCGUGAAUCCGCCCAAGGAUGAGGCCGCGACCGAUCAGGUUGUUGGUGA